UACGUAGGGUGCAAGCGUUGUCCGGAAUUAUUGGGCGUAAAGAGCUCGUAGGCGGCUUGUUGCGUCGGUUGUGAAAGCCCGGGGCUUAACCCCGGGUCUGCAGUCGAUACGGGCAGGCUAGAGUGUGGUAGGGGAGAACGGAAUUCCUGGUGUAGCGGUGAAAUGCGCAGAUAUCAGGAGGAACACCGGUGGCGAAGGCGGUUCUCUGGGCCUGUACUGACGCUGAGGCGCGAAAGCUAGGGUAGCAAACGGG
Molecule: ribosomal RNA, 253 nt
Filed under: uncultured bacterium
Lineage: Bacteria
Description: partial 16S ribosomal RNA
Rfam family: Bacterial small subunit ribosomal RNA
Source: RNAcentral